GACGAACGCUGGCGGCGUGCCUAAUACAUGCAAGUCGAGCGGGCCGGCUUGGGGCUUGCCUUGAUUCGGUCAGCGGCGGACGGGUGAGUAACACGUGGGCAACCUGCCCGCAAGACCGGGAUAACUCCGGGAAACCGGAGCUAAUACCGGAUAACACCGAAGACCGCAUGGUCUUCGGUUGAAAGGCGGCAUUUGGGCUGUCCCUUGCGGAUGGGCCCGCGGCGCAUUAGCUAGUUGGUGAGGUAACGGCUCACCAAGGCGACGAUGGGUAGCCGGCCUGAGAGGGUGACCGGCCACACAGAGAGUGAGAGAGGGCCCAGACACACACGGGAGGCAGGAGGAGGUAAGCUUCCGCAGUGGGCGAAAGCCUGACGGAGCGACGCCGCGUGAGCGAAGAAGGCCUUCGGGUCGUAAAGCGAUGUUGUGAGGGACGAAGGAGAGUCGUUGGAAGAGGGCGGCGCGGUGACGAUACCACACGAGAAAGCCCCGGCUAACUACG
This 499-nucleotide ribosomal RNA is filed under the name uncultured bacterium. RNAcentral describes it as "partial 16S ribosomal RNA". It matches the Rfam family "Bacterial small subunit ribosomal RNA", at positions 28 to 505 of the family's 1533-position model. The record is from RNAcentral.